UACAAAACCGGAAGCAUAAUGGCGGCCGCUGUACAUCCCCCGCUUGUUGUUCCUAUGCGUUAUGAUCCGUCAUUUAAAGUUGAUGUUCGUUUGCAUGAAUCUCUGUUGGCGACGGCCUACACAUCGUCAGACGUUGACAUCGAGAUGAUGUCACUGUGUGCCCAGCUUGAUGCUCUCUGUAAAAAGGAACUCGUCAUGCAACCAUCUCAUCGAAUAGAUCAUGGAAAAACAAGCAGUUCAUUUGUAAACAAAGCCAAUGUUGUGUUCGACCACAUGAGACAGCUGCUGCUGCGAUCCUGUCACCACACAGAUGUUCAGGAAUACAUGGAGAGUAAAGGAAUUGAUCGACUAUUUCCUCGAGCAGCAGCAUACAUCUACCACCCUGACAAGAUGUCUCUGUCCCUGAAGAAAACCAAUCUCGAUAACUAUUUUUCACAGCUCGCUACACUUCACCAGUUGUCAACACUAGCUCGUCAGAUCAACAAUGAUGUCUUAACUCACGACAGACCUAAAUACAUUGCACAUCAACUGGCGUUAUUAUAUCAAUCCAUAAACGCGGUACAGAACAACAAUAUGCUUGCAGUACUGAAGAAGAACAUUGAAGACAAUUUUAAAGUUGUAAAGAGUUGCUUUAUGAACGACGGCGACAGAGAUUCGUAUCCACCAGAACUCAAAGAGUGGUUGUUGACAAUAACAAGCAAUAUUGUAAGCAUCAUUGAAGAGUUUCCAGUUCAACUCACAGAGGACAUGUUACAGCCAGCCUACAUCCUCGCACAGUCGUCAUGAUGUCCACUUGAACACUGACACUGCCUGCUUGUGACCUGCAACUGUGACUUCUGCUGACAGGGGUGGAUCCAGGUGGUGUACACUGACACUGCCUGCUUGUGACCUGCAACUGUGACUUCUGCUGACAGGGGUGGAUCCAGGUGGUGUACACUGACACUGCCUGCUUGUGACCUGCAACUGUGACUUCUGUUGACAGGGGUGGAUCCAGGUGGUGUACACUGACACUGCCUGCUUGUGACCUGCAACUGUGACUUCUGCUGACAGGGGUGGAUCCAGGUGGUGUACACUGACACUGCCUGCUUGUGACCUGCAACUGUGACUUCUGCUGACAGGGGUGGAUCCAGGUGGUGUACACUGACACUGCCUGCUUGUGACCUGCAACUGUGACUUCUGCUGACAGGGGUGGAUCCAGGUGGUGUACACUGACACUGCCUGCUUGUGACCUGCAACUGUGACUUCUGCUGACAGGGGUGGAUCCAGGUGGUGUACACUGACACUGCCUGCUUGUGACCUGCAACUGUGACUUCUGUUGACAGGGGUGGAUCCAGGUGGUGUACAUGGACACAUGGACAAACUUGUGAAAAGGACACUCAGUAAAAGUUUCAGCACAACACAACACAACACAACACAACAAAACACACACACACCUAUACAUGUUACACAUAUGCACACACACACAUACCACACACUAACAUACACACACACGUAUCACACACACACAUAUACGUUACACAGACACGUUUGUGUAUGCACACCACACACUUGUACACACACACAAAAAUAAAAAAUUAACAAUUUAAAAUGGGGGGGGCACUUGAAUAUUUUUAUAUGGGAAGAUCUCUCUGGUUCUCCCUUUGGAUCUGCCUCUGGCUAGCACCAUCAGCAAUUCUGCUAACAAUGUUUUCACGUCUGCUGAAAUAAUCAUGACAUUUACUGGCAGAAUCAUAUUUACUAGCACCAUUUGUUGUCGCAGUCGUGUUUUCUAGAUUAAAUCAAGUCUGCUAGCACAAACAUAUCGGCAUAAUUGAAUGGACUAGCAUAAUCAAGUCUGCCGACUCCAUCAUCUUUGUCAGCAGUGACGAUUUUUUGAUAGCACAGCUAUUAUUCUGUGAGCAGUAAUUUCGUCUGCUCAUACAGUUUUAACAUUUGCUAGCGAAUAGCAGUCAUUUAAACAGUUAAAGUCACAAGAAUAUCAUGGGAUUAUGACAACUUUCUUGUGGUACCAUGAUUGUUGCUCAUUUCAGACUGAGGGGUGAGGGUUUUUUUCUCAAAAACUGGUCUUUUACUAUGUUUUAUGAAGUUUGUAAAUAUUUGCUGCAAUUGUGAGCUUCCUUGUAGUAAUUUCCAUAAAUAAUUUGAUAAUGCUUAUACAUUCCUUUUGACACAUGAUUUUUUAUUGUUAUAUAGGCAGAAGUGACAAAAUCAUGAUUUGAAGAAGUGGGGGCUAAAUGUUUUGUUUCAUUUUUAAUAGCCUUUACUGGGGUUCAUUUGUAUACAUGAACAGAUAUUGAUUCAAAAUAUAUUAAAACCUGUUUUAAGCAGCCUGCUUAAUACACGUCAGUUUAGACAAAACAGGUUACCAGUUGUCGGAAAUGGGCUUGAAACCUUAACCAUCAUGUUGCUUUUAUAUUCUGCAUAUGUCUAUUCAGUCUUCACAAUUCACAUCCGCAUUCUAUAAAAUCGAUGUAAAAGCGGAGGUUAAAUUGAUUUACAUCAGUAUUUGUUUUGCCAACCUAUAUGAUUGUAAGAAGAUACUAAUACAGGAAUAGUGAAAGUUUAUUUUAAGAAUAGGCCUACCAACAAAGCACAUUGAUUUAUUAAUCAUCAGCUAAGGGAUGUCAAACAUUUGAUAUAGGCUUGGAGAAAACCUGCUACUUUAUUUAGCAGCAAGGGACCUUUUAUGUGCACUUUCCCACAGACAGGACAGCACAUACAGCAGCCUUUGAUAUAGCAGUCGUGGGAGCACUGGUUGGGGUGGGAAAAUACAAAUAUACAUAUACUAAAAUAGGAAAAUAGAAAUACCAGUGUGCGGAAAAGUAUUUGUUUUUGCUGAGGCAGUUUCUGAAUUGUCUAUUUAUAUUAUUCCUUCAUUACUGGUCACAAUGGUAAUUCUUUUUAUCACCGGCCUCUGUGGUGUCGUGGUUAUGCCAUCGGACAUAAGGCUGGUAAAUACAGAGUUCGCAACAUGUUACCGACUCCCACCCUACUCAGUGGGUAGGUGUAAGACCACUAUACCCUCUUCUCUCACACUAACAACUAACCCACUGUCCUGGACAAACAGCUGAGGUGUAUGUGCCCAAGACAGCGUGCUUGCACCUUAAUUGGAUAUAAGCACAAAAAUAAGAUGAAAUGAAAUGUUUUUGUCUUGCCUUUCUAAAAAAAAAAACCCGAGAUAUAGGUAUUAUUUUUCCAAUGGUGGUGGUGAUAGCAUCAACUUCUGUGUUGAAGUUUCACAUUUAGAUCAGUUUGUCACAAACCACAAGUACUAGGUCAGUGAAACUUGGUUUGUAGUUGCACCUAUGGAUGUCUAUCACAAUGCACUAAAAUGUUUAUGGUAAGAGAAACACUGAAUUCAGAGGAAUUCUUGUGUUUUUGUUGUGAAGUUAUUGAGCUGAAUUUACAAAGCCUGUUUAUGCAUAAGCGUACGAGAAGGGUGGGGGAGAGGGGAUUAGGAGCAAAACCUCAAAUUCGGGUAAAAAUGAUGGGAGAUAUUGGGGCAAAAUAUGCUAACCUGAGAUCUUUUUACCAUGUAUUUCUAUCAUUCUACCUUCAAAAUUAGUUGUAAUUCAUGUAAAAAUGCGUAGUGAUUCGUUUGCAUCCCUAUAUACACACAGCAGGUAGCUGUUUGGUAGUAAUGCUAAUAUGAUUAAAUGUUAUCUAGAUUCGGGCAUUUUCAUUUAAUUCGGACAAAAGCCAGUCUGCCCCUAUACAAAAAUGGGAGCCCGUAAGUCUGUGUUUACGUCUUACAUUGGUGUAACUACAUACAUUUACACUAUUUGAACACCUGCGUUUAAGAAAAACAGACUUUGUAAAUUCGGCACGUAGUGUUUAUUUUAUUUUAUGUGCUCAUGUGAACUUCAUAAAAUGGCAGUAAAAGUACAUGUAUUAGAAUAUUAUACAUAUUUUUUGUACAUAAUUGAAAAGAUAAGCAAUUUUGUGAUCUCAUUCAACUGCCUGUAUUAAUACCACAUAUAUUUACCCAACGAUCAAAAGAAAAGAAAAAUAUAUCGAUAAAUCUUUUUAAACGGGCUAAUAAAAAUGACACGAAGCACUAAGUUGAUGCAAGUGUUGUAUUUUAAAAGUAUUCAUUAGGUGAGAUAUGAACACACAAUAAGAAUCAUCAAAUGUGAACGUCAUUGCUCACAAACGACACUAGUGGUAAAAUGUGCAAUUUCACAUUAAAAUGUUUCUGAACACUUUCUUUUGAUCGUUGGUAUCUUUAUGCCAGUGUGUCCCAUAUUGUAAUUGUGUUUAUAUCAUGGUGUUUUGCACUUUAAAUCGAUAUCAUAUCAUGGUGUACUACCAGGGCCGGAUUUAGAUCUUGGGGGGCCCGGGGCACUUCAGGUUCGGGGGCCCCUCAACAUAGAAAUUAAUUACAUGACAAAUAAAAAAAUGAAGAAUUUUAUAAUUAUUACAUUUCUUGAUAAAGAAAGUCCUUAUUCUGGGGGGCCCCCUCUGGCUGGGGGGUCCGGGGCAAUUGCCCCCUUUACCCGCUUAUAAAUCCGGCACUGUGUACUACGUAUUUUACCACUGUAUAGCCUCUCGCGUAUUGUUCGUACUGUGGUGUCUAGUAUUUUUCUAUUGUGUUGGAAGUCUUGUUAAGUGGGUGUGUUUUUUUUCUAUGUUGGCAGUAUUACGCAUUUAUUUUACAGGUAUUUAUGUAAAAGAAUCUCUCAAAAUAAAAUAAUUAUGAUAACUG
RNAcentral lists this unclassified non-coding RNA (4705 nucleotides) under Gigantopelta aegis. RNAcentral describes it as "uncharacterized LOC121370422, transcript variant X1". Lineage: Eukaryota; Metazoa; Mollusca; Gastropoda; Neomphalida; Peltospiridae. The record is from RNAcentral.